UUGGCCCUACGGGGGGCAGCAGUGAGGAAUAUUGGUCAAUGGGCGGGAGCCUGAACCAGCCAAGUCGCGUGAGGGAAGACGGUCCUAUGGAUUGUAAACCUCUUUUGUCGGGGAGCAAAGAGACCACGUGUGGUCAAAAGCGAGAGUACCCGAAGAAAAAGCAUCGGCUAACUCCGUGCCAGCAGCCGCGGUAAUACGUAGGUGGCGAGCGUUAUCCGGAAUGAUUGGGCGUAAAGGGUGCGUAGGCGGCCUGCUAAGUCUGGAGUGAAAGGUACCGGCUCAACCGGUACAGGCUCUGGAAACUG
This 305-nucleotide ribosomal RNA is filed under the name uncultured bacterium. RNAcentral describes it as "bacterial SSU rRNA". It matches the Rfam family "Bacterial small subunit ribosomal RNA", at positions 333 to 635 of the family's 1533-position model. The record is from RNAcentral.